GAUGAACGCUAGCGGCAGGCUUAACACAUGCAAGUCGAGGGGCAGCGCGAUGUAGCAAUACAUUGGCGGCGACCGGCGCACGGGUGCGUAACACGUAUGGAACUUACCCUUUACUGGGAGAUAGCCCGGAGAAAUCCGGAUUAAUAUCCCAUAAUAAACGAAGUGGCCUCACUUUGUUUUGAAAGCUCCGGCGGUAAAGGAUGGCCAUGCGCACGAUUAGCUAGUAGGUGAGGUAACGGCUCACCUAGGCUACGAUCGUUAGGGGGCCUGAGAGGGUUAUCCCCCCACACUGGUACUGAGACACGGACCAGACUCCUACGGGAGGCAGCAGUGAGGAAUAUUGCGCAAUGGAGGCAACUCUGACGCAGCCAUGCCGCGUGCAGGAAGAAGGCGCUACGCGUUGUAAACUGCUUUUAACCGGGAAGAAACCCUCCGACGUGUCGGAGGUUGACGGUACCGGAGGAAUAAGCACCGGCUAACUUCGUGCCAGCAGCCGCGGUAAAGUAGACG
This 510-nucleotide ribosomal RNA is filed under the name uncultured bacterium. RNAcentral's name for it is "bacterial SSU rRNA". It matches the Rfam family "Bacterial small subunit ribosomal RNA", at positions 28 to 531 of the family's 1533-position model. The record is from RNAcentral.